RNAcentral lists this transfer RNA (74 nucleotides) under Anaeromyxobacter dehalogenans 2CP-C. RNAcentral's name for it is "tRNA-Gln (CTG) (tRNA-Gln-CTG-1-1)". It matches the Rfam family "tRNA". From Rfam's summary of the family: Transfer RNA (tRNA) molecules are approximately 80 nucleotides in length. Their secondary structure includes four short double-helical elements and three loops (D, anti-codon, and T loops). Further hydrogen bonds mediate the characteristic L-shaped molecular structure. tRNAs have two regions of fundamental functional importance: the anti-codon, which is responsible for specific mRNA codon recognition, and the 3' end, to which the tRNAs corresponding amino acid is attached (by aminoacyl-tRNA synthetases). tRNAs cope with the degeneracy of the genetic code in two manners: having more than one tRNA (with a specific anti-codon) for a particular amino acid; and 'wobble' base-pairing, i.e. permitting non-standard base-pairing at the 3rd anti-codon position. RNAcentral also lists the same sequence under 10 other names. The record is from RNAcentral. Lineage: Bacteria; Pseudomonadati; Myxococcota; Myxococcia; Myxococcales; Anaeromyxobacteraceae.
UGGGGGAUCGUCUAACGGCAGGACGCCAGACUCUGGAUCUGGCUAUCUAGGUUCGAAUCCUAGUCCCCCAGCCA